Molecule: ribosomal RNA, 135 nt
Filed under: uncultured eukaryote
Lineage: Eukaryota
Description: partial 18S ribosomal RNA
Rfam family: Eukaryotic small subunit ribosomal RNA
Source: RNAcentral
UGGUGGAGCGAUUUGUCUGGUUUAUUCCGAUAACGAACGAGACUCUAGCCUACUAGAUAGUGGGCGGAUCAGUUUGUCCGCAACACUUCUUAGAGGGACAAGCGGUUUUCAGCCGCACGAGAUUGAGCAAUAACA